UGCUUUAUUUGGUGACAAAUCUCACUUAUGGGGGCAAAUUAGGUCCAAAGUAACCAUUUGUCAGACAAUUAGAUGGUAUUAGUUACAUAAUUGGUACCUUUUGUGCCAUUCAUUGGCUGUCUCCAUUAUUUUAUAUUAUUCAACCCAUAAACCGGUUGCAUAUGGACGAGAAAAAGUAGAAAAGUUUCCUCUGCAAAACAGCAAUAGCAGUCAUGGUCUUCCCAAUGAAUACACUGUUUGCAGUGCUGAGGACGAUGAUGAACACGAUGAUGGUGAUGUUGAUGUUGUUGGGUUCGUGAUGAACGAUGUUGAACGAUUUUAGAUGAAUGAGUUGAGUUGGUUGAAGAUCUAUGAAGAUGAUGACGAAAGCUACGAAUCUGAAUCUCGGAUCCGACCCUUCCACGGGAUUAGGGUUUCAGGAGAUCUCGGUCGCAAGUUCUUUUCCAAUAUGAUUGGUUAGCAGAAUUUUGUGGGAAGUGGCGGUUUGAGUCGGUGAUGCAGCCUGUUUCUUCGGGAACCAGUUUGUUAUUCGUUUCGGUUGAGCUUUAUGCAGGGCUGCAGUUCUCAUAAGACCAUUACUUGAACAUUAUAGUAAAAUAAAUUCUUACUUCUUGCAGAGAUUUAAGCUUCAAUAUGUUUUCUGGUUCAAUCCCAAAUUCAAUCCAGGGAUUGAAAAGGCUAAAUUACAUGUAAGUGAACAUUCAUUUACCGGCCGACCAUAAGAUUAACCAAAAUAAUACAUCUAUAUGUUGAUAUCUAAAGAAUUAGCUGUUUUUCCUUUGUUGAUUUAACUUUGCUGUUUGGAUGUAGGUUUAUGACAAAUAAUUCUUUGAGUGGACCGAUUCAAGACUGGAUACUUAACUUCAAAUUCAAUAAUUUUUCAAUCUGUGAAAUAACUUCACUCAUUUUUCUUUUUUGAAUACCUUUCUUUAUAUUCAUUUGAAGCAUCAAACAUGUCUCUUUGAUUAUAGCGGAAAAGUGGAUGAUUCCAUAGGCAAUUUCUAUUCUCUUAGUGUAGUCAUUUCUUUUCAUCUUCCCAUCACCUCCCUGUUUGAUUAAUUCACUACUAUAUUGCAGAAGAAGAAUAAGAUGAAAGUGGAUUGUAAGGUGAAGUGGAUAGCUGUAGCAGUGAAAAUCCGUUUUGACUGUAGCGACCUCAACGAAACAGAAGGCUGCAGUUCCGGAACAGUUUCAACUGAACGAUGCACUUGAUCUAC
Molecule: long non-coding RNA, 1217 nt
Organism: Vicia villosa (hairy vetch)
Lineage: Eukaryota; Viridiplantae; Streptophyta; Magnoliopsida; Fabales; Fabaceae
Exons: 4
Source: RefSeq, a predicted model, not a curated record